RNAcentral lists this ribosomal RNA (844 nucleotides) under uncultured bacterium. Its description in RNAcentral is "bacterial SSU rRNA". It matches the Rfam family "Bacterial small subunit ribosomal RNA", at positions 57 to 861 of the family's 1533-position model. The record is from RNAcentral.
GCAGUCGAGCGAGCUUGCCUAGAUGAUUUUAGUGCUUGCACUAAAUGAAACUAGAUACAAGCGAGCGGCGGACGGGUGAGUAACACGUGGGUAACCUGCCCAAGAGACUGGGAUAACACCUGGAAACAGAUGCUAAUACCGGAUAACAACACUAGACGCAUGUCUAGAGUUUGAAAGAUGGUUCUGCUAUCACUCUUGGAUGGACCUGCGGUGCAUUAGCUAGUUGGUAAGGUAACGGCUUACCAAGGCAAUGAUGCAUAGCCGAGUUGAGAGACUGAUCGGCCACAUUGGGACUGAGACACGGCCCAAACUCCUACGGGAGGCAGCAGUAGGGAAUCUUCCACAAUGGACGAAAGUCUGAUGGAGCAACGCCGCGUGAGUGAAGAAGGGUUUCGGCUCGUAAAGCUCUGUUGGUAGUGAAGAAAGAUAGAGGUAGUAACUGGCCUUUAUUUGACGGUAAUUACUUAGAAAGUCACGGCUAACUACGUGCCAGCAGCCGCGGUAAUACGUAGGUGGCAAGCGUUGUCCGGAUUUAUUGGGCGUAAAGCGAGUGCAGGCGGUUCAAUAAGUCUGAUGUGAAAGCCUUCGGCUCAACCGGAGAAUUGCAUCAGAAACUGUUGAACUUGAGUGCAGAAGAGGAGAGUGGAACUCCAUGUGUAGCGGUGGAAUGCGUAGAUAUAUGGAAGAACACCAGUGGCGAAGGCGGCUCUCUGGUCUGCAACUGACGCUGAGGCUCGAAAGCAUGGGUAGCGAACAGGAUUAGAUACCCUGGUAGUCCAUGCCGUANACGAUGAGUGCUAANUGUUGGGAGGUUUCCGCCUCUCAGUGCUGCAGCUAACGCAUU